UACGUAGGGUGCGAGCGUUAAUCGGAAUUACUGGGCGUAAAGCGUGCGCAGGCGGCUUUGCAAGUCAGAUGUGAAAUCCCCGGGCUCAACCUGGGAACUGCAUUUGUGACUGCAUGGCUAGAGUGCGGCAGAGGGGGAUGGAAUUCCGCGUGUAGCAGUGAAAUGCGUAGAUAUGCGGAGGAACACCGAUGGCGAAGGCAAUCCCCUGGGCCUGCACUGACGCUCAUGCACGAAAGCGUGGGGAGCAAACAGG
Molecule: ribosomal RNA, 253 nt
Filed under: uncultured bacterium
Lineage: Bacteria
Description: partial 16S ribosomal RNA
Rfam family: Bacterial small subunit ribosomal RNA
Source: RNAcentral